GACGAACGCUGGCGGCGUGCUUAACACAUGCAAGUCGAACGGAAAGGCCCUGCUUUUGUGGGGUGCUCGAGUGGCGAACGGGUGAGUAACACGUGAGUAACCUGCCCUUGACUUUGGGAUAACUUCAGGAAACUGGGGCUAAUACCGGAUAGGAGCUCCUGCUGCAUGGUGGGGGUUGGAGAGUUUCGGCGGUUGGGGAUGGACUCGCGGCUUAUCAGCUUGUUGGUGGGGUAGUGGCUUACCAAGGCUUUGACGGGUAGCCGGCCUGAGAGGGUGACCGGCCACAUUGGGACUGAGAUACGGCCCAGACUCCUACGGGAGGCAGCAGUGGGGAAUAUUGCACAAUGGGCGGAAGCCUGAUGCAGCAACGCCGCGUGCGGGAUGACGGCCUUCGGGUUGUAAACCGCUUUCGCCUGUGACGAAGCGUGAGUGACGGUAAUGGGUAAAGAAGCACCGGCUAACUACGUGCCAGCAGCCGCGGUGAUACGUAGGGUGCGAGCGUUGUCCGGAUUUAUUGGGCGUAAAGGGCUCGUAGGUGGUUGAUCGCGUCGGAAGUGUAAUCUUGGGGCUUAACCCUGAGCGUGCUUUCGAUACGGGUUGACUUGAGGAAGGUAGGGGAGAAUGGAAUUCCUGGUGGAGCGGUGGAAUGCGCAGAUAUCAGGAGGAACACCAGUGGCGAAGGCGGUUCUCUGGGCCUUUCCUGACGCUGAGGAGCGAAAGCGUGGGGAGCGAACAGGCUUAGAUACCCUGGUAGUCCACGCUGUAAACGGUGGGUACUAGGUGUGGGGUCCAUUCCACGGGUUCCGUGCCGUAGCUAACGCUUUAAGUACCCCGCCUGGGGAGUACGGCCGCAAGGCUAAAACUCAAAGGAAUUGACGGGGCCCCGCACAAGCGGCGGAGCAUGCGGAUUAAUUCGAUGCAACGCGUAGAACCUUACCUGGGUUUGACAUGGAUCGGGAGUGCUCAGAGAUGGGUGUGCCUCUUUUGGGGUCGGUUCACAGGUGGUGCAUGGCUGUCGUCAGCUCGUGUCGUGAGAUGUUGGGUUAAGUCCCGCAACGAGCGCAACCCUUGUUCACUGUUGCCAGCACGUUAUGGUGGGGACUCAGUGGAGACCGCCGGGGUCAACUCGGAGGAAGGUGGGGAUGACGUCAAGUCAUCAUGCCCCCUUAUGUCCAGGGCUUCACGCAUGCUACAAUGGCUGGUACAGAGAGUGGCGAGCCUGUGAGGGUGAGCGAAUCUCGGAAAGCCGGUCUCAGUUCGGAUUGGGGUCUGCAACUCGACCUCAUGAAGUCGGAGUCGCUAGUAAUCGUAGAUCAGCAACGCUGCGGUGAAUACGUUCCCGGG
Molecule: ribosomal RNA, 1344 nt
Filed under: uncultured bacterium
Lineage: Bacteria
Description: 16S ribosomal RNA
Rfam family: Bacterial small subunit ribosomal RNA
Source: RNAcentral